This 240-nucleotide unclassified non-coding RNA is filed under the name soil metagenome. RNAcentral describes it as "partial contains 5.8S ribosomal RNA, internal transcribed spacer 2, and large subunit ribosomal RNA". The record is from RNAcentral.
AACAUCGCGCACCUGCGGGAACCUGCGGAGGGAUCAUUACUGAAUAAAAUCUGGUCUGGUUGCGUUGUCGCUGGCCUCCUGGAGGCAUGUGCACACCCUGCCGCCACCUUAUUCAUCCAUCUAUACUUACCUGUGCAUCUCCUUGUAGGAUCAGGAUUUGUAUCACCAUUUCUUCAAACCUUUCCUUCCCUUCUUCAGGAGGGGGGGUUGAGGGAAGGAGAAAAGUGUUUUUGGAAUUUU